Molecule: ribosomal RNA, 377 nt
Filed under: uncultured bacterium
Lineage: Bacteria
Description: bacterial SSU rRNA
Rfam family: Bacterial small subunit ribosomal RNA
Source: RNAcentral
AUACGUAGGGGGCAAGCGUUGUCCGGAAUCAUUGGGCGUAAAGGGCGCGUAGGCGGAUAUUUAAGUCUGAUGUGAAAACCUAGGGCUCAACCCUGGGAGUGCAUCGGAAACUGGAUAUCUUGAGGACAGGAGAGGAAAGUGGAAUUCCACGUGUAGCGGUGAAAUGCGUAGAUAUGUGGAGGAACACCAGUGGCGAAGGCGACUUUCUGGACUGUAACUGACGCUGAGGCGCGAAAGCGUGGGGAGCAAACAGGAUUAGAUACCCUGGUAGUCCACGCCGUAAACGAUGAGUGCUAGGUGUAGAGGGUAUCGACCCCUUCUGUGCCGCAGUAAACACAAUAAGCACUCCGCCUGGGGAGUACGGUCGCAAGACUAAA